Molecule: ribosomal RNA, 605 nt
Filed under: Vibrio gangliei
Lineage: Bacteria; Pseudomonadati; Pseudomonadota; Gammaproteobacteria; Vibrionales; Vibrionaceae
Description: bacterial SSU rRNA
Rfam family: Bacterial small subunit ribosomal RNA
Source: RNAcentral
GUCGAGCGGAAACGAGAAGUAGCUUGCUACUUCGGCGUCGAGCGGCGGACGGGUGAGUAAUGCAUAGGAAGUUGCCCAGUAGAGGGGGAUAACCAUUGGAAACGAUGGCUAAUACCGCAUGACCUCUUCGGAGCAAAGCAGGGGACCUUCGGGCCUUGCGCUAUUGGAUACGCCUAUGUGGGAUUAGCUAGUUGGUGAGGUAAGGGCUCACCAAGGCGACGAUCCCUAGCUGGUCUGAGAGGAUGAUCAGCCACACUGGGACUGAGACACGGCCCAGACUCCUACGGGAGGCAGCAGUGGGGAAUAUUGCACAAUGGGCGAAAGCCUGAUGCAGCCAUGCCGCGUGUAUGAAGAAGGCCUUCGGGUUGUAAAGUACUUUCAGUUGUGAGGAAGGCGGCGAAAUUAAUACUCUUAUCGUUUGACGUUAGCAACAGAAGAAGCACCGGCUAACUCCGUGCCAGCAGCCGCGGUAAUACGGAGGGUGCGAGCGUUAAUCGGAAUUACUGGGCGUAAAGCGCAUGCAGGUGGUUUGUUAAGUCAGAUGUGAAAGCCCGGGGCUCAACCUCGGAAGGUCAUUUGAAACUGGCAAACUAGAGUACUGUAGA